AGUCACUGACAUUAGAUACCCCCUGUAGUCCAGGGUGUAAACGCUGCAGACUUGGUGUUGGAAGCCCUUUGGGGGCAUUCAGUGCCGGAGAGAAGUUGUUAAGUCUGCUACUUGGGGAGUACGUCCGCAAGGAUGAAACUUAAAGGAAUUGGCGGGGGAGCACCGCAAUGGGAGGAGCGUGCGGUUUAAUUGGAUUCAACACCGUAAACUCACCAGGGAAGACUGUUACAUGAAGGCCGAGAUGAAGACUCUGCUAGAUUUUCAG
RNAcentral lists this ribosomal RNA (265 nucleotides) under uncultured archaeon. RNAcentral describes it as "partial 16S ribosomal RNA". It matches the Rfam family "Archaeal small subunit ribosomal RNA", at positions 718 to 982 of the family's 1478-position model. The record is from RNAcentral.